AUUGAACGCUGGCGGCAGGCCUAACACAUGCAAGUCGAGCGAGAAAGCCCUUCGGGGUGAGUAGAGCGGCGGACGGGUGAGUAACGCGUAGGAAUCUACCCAGUGGUGGGGGACAACUCGAGGAAACUCGAGCUAAUACCGCAUACGCCCUUCGGGGGAAAGCGGGGGACCUUCGGGCCUCGCGCCAUUGGAUGAGCCUGCGUUGGAUUAGCUAGUUGGUGAGGUAAAGGCUCACCAAGGCGACGAUCCAUAGCUGGUCUGAGAGGAUGAUCAGCCACACUGGGACUGAGACACGGCCCAGACUCCUACGGGAGGCAGCAGUGGGGAAUAUUGGACAAUGGGCGCAAGCCUGAUCCAGCCAUGCCGCGUGUGUGAAGAAGGCCUUAGGGUUGUAAAGCACUUUCAAUUGGGAGGAAAAGCUUGUCCUUAAUACGGGCAAGCCCUGACGUUACCUUUAGAAGAAGCACCGGCUAACUCCGUG
RNAcentral lists this ribosomal RNA (481 nucleotides) under uncultured Gammaproteobacteria bacterium. RNAcentral's name for it is "bacterial SSU rRNA". It matches the Rfam family "Bacterial small subunit ribosomal RNA", at positions 30 to 507 of the family's 1533-position model. Lineage: Bacteria; Pseudomonadati; Pseudomonadota; Gammaproteobacteria. The record is from RNAcentral.